GAUGAAGAACGUAGCGAAAUGCGAUAAGUAGUGUGAAUUGCAGAAUUCAGUGAAUCAUCGAAUCUUUGAACGCACAUUGCGCCCUUUGGUAUUCCUUAGGGCAUGCCUGUUCGAGCGUUAUUUAAACCUUCAAGCUCAGCUUGGUGUUGGGUGACUGUCCGCUUCACCGCGGACUCGCCUCAAAAUUAUUGGCGGCCGGUACAUUGGCUUCGUGCGCAGCAGAAACGCGAACUCGGGCCCGUCGUAUUGGCUCCCAGAAGCUAUCUUCACAAUUUUGACCUCGGAUCAGGUAGGGAUACCCGCUGAACUUAAGCAUAUCAAUAAGCGGAGGA
RNAcentral lists this unclassified non-coding RNA (332 nucleotides) under soil metagenome. RNAcentral describes it as "partial contains 5.8S ribosomal RNA, internal transcribed spacer 2, and large subunit ribosomal RNA". The stretch from base 1 to 120 matches the Rfam family "5.8S ribosomal RNA", at positions 35 to 154 of the family's 154-position model. The record is from RNAcentral.